This is a ribosomal RNA of 160 nucleotides. It matches the Rfam family "5.8S ribosomal RNA". From Rfam's summary of the family: 5.8S ribosomal RNA (5.8S rRNA) is a component of the large subunit of the eukaryotic ribosome. It is transcribed by RNA polymerase I as part of the 45S precursor that also contains 18S and 28S rRNA. The record is from Rfam.
AACUUUCAACAACGGAUCUCUUGGUUCUGGCAUCGAUGAAGAACGCAGCGAAAUGCGAUAAGUAAUGUGAAUUGCGCGUGUGAGUGGUGGGACAGAUCCAGUAAUGGGCGCAUCUCGCUUGUUGAGCUCUACCAGCCGUGGGAUCUUUGAUUCUGGGCCA